Molecule: ribosomal RNA, 532 nt
Filed under: uncultured Pseudomonadota bacterium
Lineage: Bacteria; Pseudomonadati; Pseudomonadota
Description: bacterial SSU rRNA
Rfam family: Bacterial small subunit ribosomal RNA
Source: RNAcentral
AGAGUUUGAUCAUGGCUCAGAGCGAACGUUAGCGGCGGGCCUAACACAUGCAAGUCGAGCGAGAAAAGGGCUUCGGCCCUGAGUAAAGCGGCGGACGGGUGAGUAACACGUAGGUAAUCUUCCCUUGAGCGGGGGACAACGAGCCGAAAGGCUCGCUAAUACCGCGUACGUUCUUUGGGACUCCGGUCCUGAAGAGGAAAGCUAGGCCGCAAGGUCUGGCACUCGAGGAGGAGCCUGCGUCGCAUCAGCUAGUUGGUGGGGUAACGGCCUACCAAGGCGAAGACGCGUAGCUGGUCUGAGAGGAUGAUCAGCCACACUGGGACUGAGACACGGCCCAGACUCCUACGGGAGGCAGCAGUGGGGAAUAUUGGACAAUGGGCGCAAGCCUGAUCCAGCCACGCCGCGUGAGUGAUGAAGGCCUUCGGGUCGUAAAGCUCUGUGGGGAGGGACGAACCGCUGCACGUUCAUAGCGUGCAGCAUGACGGUACCUCCUUAGCAAGCACCGGCUAACUUCGUGCCAGCAGCCGCGGUA